CGAAAGGUCGAAAGGAGAAAUUCAUCGCGUUUCGAUGUGGGCAACUGAUGGGAUUGUGUGACGGAAAUUUAUGUUGUUUCGGCAACAAUAUUUUCGCAUCGCCUAUUUUGUUGAGCCGUACAACGAACGUGUGCACUUUUCUCCUGGUAGGACGUCGCGAUCCGUUGGGUGUCGGUCUACAAACAAUGUGGUGGAGACCAUUCGUACAUUUUUACCGAUGUUUAUGAAUGGACCCAUAUGUUUUGGCCGACUCGCUCGACGGUAUACAAAUGGUUGUGAGCCGCUUAUUAAAAAAAGCGUUUGACUUAUGGCAAGCGCGCCAGUUGUUUUGUUGGAAAUCGGACCUAGUGCCGAUUCUGACCUCUGGUGACUGUUGGCUAUAAUGUUCUUAAACAGACUCAUAUUUGAAACCGAUCUGCGACGCUAUAGCUUUGGGUAAUUUCAGGACCCGUCUUGAAACACGGACCAAGGAGUCUAGCAUGUACCCAAGUCAUUGGGAAUUAUUAAACCUAAAGGCGUAAUGAAAGUAAAGAUUUUCCUUGCGAAAAUCGAGGGAAGACGAGUGGUUUUACACCGUUAAAAGUGGCCAUUCCGCAUUCCCGGGGCGUCUCGUUCUCAUUGCGAGAAGAGGCGCACCAAGAGCGUACACGCUGGGACCCGAAAGAUGGUGAACUAUGCCUGGUCAGGACNAANUCAGGGGAAACCCUGAUGGAGGUCCGUAGCGAUUCUGACGUGCAAAUCGAUCGUCGGAACUGGGUAUAGGGGCGAAAGACUAAUCGAACCAUC
RNAcentral lists this ribosomal RNA (786 nucleotides) under Hylurgopinus rufipes. RNAcentral's name for it is "eukaryotic LSU rRNA". It matches the Rfam family "Eukaryotic large subunit ribosomal RNA", at positions 437 to 944 of the family's 3401-position model. The record is from RNAcentral. Lineage: Eukaryota; Metazoa; Arthropoda; Insecta; Coleoptera; Curculionidae.